This 440-nucleotide ribosomal RNA is filed under the name uncultured bacterium. Its description in RNAcentral is "partial 16S ribosomal RNA". It matches the Rfam family "Bacterial small subunit ribosomal RNA", at positions 338 to 795 of the family's 1533-position model. The record is from RNAcentral.
CCUACGGGAGGCAGCAGUGGGGAAUAUUGCACAAUGGAGGGAACCCUGAUGCCGCGACGCCGCGUGGGUGAAGAAGCGCCUCGGCGCGUAAAGCCCUGUCUGCAGGGAAGAAAAUGACGGUACCUGAAGAAGAAUCCCAGGCUAACUACGAGCCGGCAGCCGUGGUAAUACGUAGGGUGCAGGCGUUAUCCGGAUUUACUGGGUGUAAAGGGGGCGCAGACGGUGAUGCAAGCCAGGAGUGAAAGCCCGGGGCGCAACCCCGGGACUGCUUUUGGAACUGCGUGGCUGGAGUGCAGGAGGGGCAGGCGGAAUUCCUGGUGGAGCGGUGAAAUGCGUAGAUAUCAGGAGGAACACCGGUGGCGAAGGCGGCCUGCUGGACUGCAACUGACGUUGAGGCCCGAAAGCGUGGGGAGCAAACAGGAUUAGAUACCCGGGUAGUC